This 253-nucleotide ribosomal RNA is filed under the name uncultured bacterium. Its description in RNAcentral is "partial 16S ribosomal RNA". It matches the Rfam family "Bacterial small subunit ribosomal RNA", at positions 524 to 776 of the family's 1533-position model. The record is from RNAcentral.
UACGGAGGGUGCAAGCGUUGCUCGGAAUUAUUGGGCGUAAAGGGCAGGUAGGUGGUCUCAUUUGUCUGAGGUGAAAGCCUUGGGCUUAACUCAAGAAGGGCCUCAGAAACGGUGAGACUAGAGUGCUGGAGAGGGUCGUGGAAUUCCCGGUGUAGCGGUGAAAUGCGUAGAGAUCGGGAGGAACACCAGAGGCGAAGGCGGCGACCUGGACAGCAACUGACACUCAACUGCGAAAGCGUGGGGAGCAAACAGG